RNAcentral lists this ribosomal RNA (865 nucleotides) under Escherichia coli. RNAcentral's name for it is "partial 23S ribosomal RNA". It matches the Rfam family "Bacterial large subunit ribosomal RNA", at positions 383 to 1251 of the family's 2925-position model. Lineage: Bacteria; Pseudomonadati; Pseudomonadota; Gammaproteobacteria; Enterobacterales; Enterobacteriaceae. The record is from RNAcentral.
AAAUGCACAUGCUGUGAGCUCGAUGAGUAGGGCGGGACACGUGGUAUCCUGUCUGAAUAUGGGGGGACCAUCCUCCAAGGCUAAAUACUCCUGACUGACCGAUAGUGAACCAGUACCGUGAGGGAAAGGCGAAAAGAACCCCGGCGAGGGGAGUGAAAAAGAACCUGAAACCGUGUACGUACAAGCAGUGGGAGCACGCUUAGGCGUGUGACUGCGUACCUUUUGUAUAAUGGGUCAGCGACUUAUAUUCUGUAGCAAGGUUAACCGAAUAGGGGAGCCGAAGGGAAACCGAGUCUUAACUGGGCGUUAAGUUGCAGGGUAUAGACCCGAAACCCGGUGAUCUAGCCAUGGGCAGGUUGAAGGUUGGGUAACACUAACUGGAGGACCGAACCGACUAAUGUUGAAAAAUUAGCGGAUGACUUGUGGCUGGGGGUGAAAGGCCAAUCAAACCGGGAGAUAGCUGGUUCUCCCCGAAAGCUAUUUAGGUAGCGCCUCGUGAAUUCAUCUCCGGGGGUAGAGCACUGUUUCGGCAAGGGGGUCAUCCCGACUUACCAACCCGAUGCAAACUGCGAAUACCGGAGAAUGUUAUCACGGGAGACACACGGCGGGUGCUAACGUCCGUCGUGAAGAGGGAAACAACCCAGACCGCCAGCUAAGGUCCCAAAGUCAUGGUUAAGUGGGAAACGAUGUGGGAAGGCCCAGACAGCCAGGAUGUUGGCUUAGAAGCAGCCAUCAUUUAAAGAAAGCGUAAUAGCUCACUGGUCGAGUCGGCCUGCGCGGAAGAUGUAACGGGGCUAAACCAUGCACCGAAGCUGCGGCAGCGACGCUGAUGCGUUGUUGGGUAGGGGAGCGUUCUGUAAGCCUG